AGUUAACGCUAGCGGCGUGCAUCAGGCAUGCAAGUUGAACGAGAAAGUUUUCUUCGGAGAACGAGUAAAGUGGCGCACGGGUGAGUAACACUUAGGUAACCUGCCCUUUCGCUGGGGACAACUGAGGGAAACCUCAGCUAAUACCGAAUAUCCCAUUUUUAUCUGCGGAUUUUUAUGGAAAAGCUUCGGCGCGAAAGGAGGGGCCUGAGUCCCAUUAGCUUGUUGGUAGGGUAAAAGCCUACCAAGGCGACGAUGGGUAGCUGGUCUAAGAGGAUGUCCAGCCACACUGGAACUGAAACACGGUCCAGACUCCUACGGGAGGCAGCAGCUAGGAAUAUUGCGCAAUGGGGGAAACCCUGACGCAGCAACGCCGCGUGAGUGAUGAAGGCCUUAGGGUUGUAAAGCUCUUUUAGUAGGGAAGAAACAAAUGACGGUACCUACAGAAAAAGCACCGGCAAACUUCG
RNAcentral lists this ribosomal RNA (464 nucleotides) under uncultured Pseudomonadota bacterium. RNAcentral's name for it is "bacterial SSU rRNA". It matches the Rfam family "Bacterial small subunit ribosomal RNA", at positions 29 to 505 of the family's 1533-position model. The record is from RNAcentral. Lineage: Bacteria; Pseudomonadati; Pseudomonadota.